Molecule: ribosomal RNA, 497 nt
Filed under: uncultured bacterium
Lineage: Bacteria
Description: partial 16S ribosomal RNA
Rfam family: Bacterial small subunit ribosomal RNA
Source: RNAcentral
GAUGAACGCUGGCGGCGUGCCUAAUACAUGCAAGUCGAGCGAACGGACGAGAAGCUUGCUUCUCUGAUGUUAGCGGCGGACGGGUGAGUAACACGUGGAUAACCUACCUAUAAGACUGGGAUAACUUCGGGAAACCGGAGCUAAUACCGGAUGAUAUUUUGAACCGCAUGGGUCAAAAGUGAAAGACGGUCUUGCUGUCACUUAUAGAUGGAUCCGCGCUGCAUUAGCUAGUUGGGAAGGUAGCGGCUUACCAAGGCAACGAUGCAUAGCCGACCUGAGAGGGUGAUCGGCCACACUGGAACUGAGACACGGUCCAGACUCCUACGGGAGGCAGCAGUAGGGAAUCUUCCGCAAUGGGCGAAAGCCUGACGGAGCAACGCCGCGUGAGUGAUGAAGGUCUUCGGAUCGUAAAACUCUGUUAUUAGGGAAGAACAUAUGUGUAAGUAACUGUGCACAUCUUGACGGUACCUAAUCAGAAAGCCACGGCUAACUACGUG